Molecule: long non-coding RNA, 452 nt
Organism: Cyanistes caeruleus (blue tit)
Lineage: Eukaryota; Metazoa; Chordata; Aves; Passeriformes; Paridae
Source: RefSeq, a predicted model, not a curated record
UUUAGGAAAUGCAUCCCACUCUUCUCUUAGUGUCUUCUACUGCAGGACCAUCAUUUUAUCCAUGUUUGGGAAAUAUCCAUCACUGCUGGGGGAAAGGGACUUCUCCUCCUGAGUGAAGACUGUGGGAUCUGACUUGAAGCAAGACAAGAGAAGCAAAGCCUCUGUGUGAACGUGGCAGAAUAGAAAAAAAGUCAUGUACAAAGCAAGGGGAAGAAUUCAGGCUGGUUUCAACUCAGGAUCAAACCCUUUAUAACGCUGGACUGAGGGGGGUCUGUUUCCUCAUCCUACUGCUUUUCCAGAAUCCACAGUGUAUGUUCCUGCAGGAAUGCUCAGCCCUCGUCCUGCCCAGGCGGGCGCAUCCAGCCCAGGGUGUUCUCUGGCUCCAGUUUAAAUCCUGCAAUCCCUGUCAGCCGUGGGCUCGCUCACUCUGAGCCCUCUCUCUUGCCUGGCUC